This 524-nucleotide ribosomal RNA is filed under the name uncultured bacterium. RNAcentral describes it as "bacterial SSU rRNA". It matches the Rfam family "Bacterial small subunit ribosomal RNA", at positions 355 to 900 of the family's 1533-position model. The record is from RNAcentral.
GGGGGAAUAUUGGACAAUGGGCGAAAGCCUGAUCCAGCGACGCCGCGUGAGUGAUGAAGGCCCUAGGGUUGUAAAGCUCUUUCAGUAGGGAAGAUGAUGACGGUACCUACAGAAGAAGCCCCGGCUAACUUCGUGCCAGCAGCCGCGGUAAUACGAAGGGGGCUAGCGUUACUCGGAAUUAUUGGGCGUAAAGCGUGCGUAGGCGGCUAAAUAAGUUGAAAGUGAAAGCCCAGGGCUUAACCUUGGAAUUGCUUUCAAAACUGUUUGGCUAGAGUAUUGGAGAGGAUAGUAGAAUUCCUAGUGUAGAGGUGAAAUUCGUAGAUAUUAGGAGGAAUACCGGAGGCGAAGGCGACUAUCUGGCCAAUUACUGACGCUGUUGCACGAAAGCGUGGGGAGCAAACAGGAUUAGAUACCCUGGUAGUCCACGCAGUAAACGAUGAGUGCUAGAUAUCGGGACAACAGUUUCGGUGUCGCAGCUAACGCAUUAAGCACUCCGCCUGGGGAUACGGUCGCAAGAUUAAAAC